UUUCCUUCAAUUUGACGUCACGAUAUUCGUCGACGCAGUUUGACAGUUCUCUUCAGUUGGUCUUGUUUGGACUUGAUCAAAUCAGAGAAACUUUGUACCGAAUCGAACCAGUUUACGUUGCCGAAAGUUAGUGUGGAUUUUGGCCGGUUGAUUGAUUUCCUGAUUUCGGCCUUCGUGAUGGAGGAGGAGGAGGAGGAGGAGGAGAACGGGUCACAUCGUUGCUCCGGCGGGCCAUGCCGGAAGACGGGAAGGGAAGCACCCGGUCUGCGAUCGAGGAAGCGGAUUGAUGUUUAACUUUCCGCGGGAGGUGGCGGUGCGUGCCAUACCCAAGGAGGAGGACAAUGAAACGGCAAGUAAUGGAUGUUUCCCCCAAUGGAACAGAAAGAGGGAGAAAGACCAUUCCCCUUCCCGUCAAGUCUUGGGGAGGUGUACAAUGUUCCGUGUGAAAAGAAAGGUGGAGGAAGACGGCGUUUCUGAUCCGCCGGAGGUUUUUAUACGAUUUUAACGAUUCGAGCAUAUCAUAAUUGUUCAAAAACUUUAAAGUUCAAUGCUUGACGAGAUGAACUGAAAGGCCAACUGGAAGACAACGCCAAAAACCACGUGAAGAUCGCGACACACAACAAGUAAAAUUAAUGAAUUUUUGUGAAAUCGAGUGAAAAAGAUUAAUUUACA
This is a long non-coding RNA of Culex quinquefasciatus (southern house mosquito), 672 nucleotides long. RefSeq lists it as uncharacterized. NCBI's taxonomy places the organism in Eukaryota, Metazoa, Arthropoda, Insecta, Diptera, Culicidae. The transcript is spliced from 3 exons. The record is from RefSeq and is a predicted model, not a curated record.